Molecule: ribosomal RNA, 762 nt
Filed under: uncultured Streptococcus sp.
Lineage: Bacteria; Bacillati; Bacillota; Bacilli; Lactobacillales; Streptococcaceae
Description: bacterial SSU rRNA
Rfam family: Bacterial small subunit ribosomal RNA
Source: RNAcentral
GAUGAACGCUGGCGGCGUGCCUAAUACAUGCAAGUAGAACGCUGAAGCUUGGUGCUUGCACCGAGCGGAUGAGUUGCGAACGGGUGAGUAACGCGUAGGUAACCUGCCUCUUAGCGGGGGAUAACUAUUGGAAACGAUAGCUAAUACCGCAUAAAAGUCGAUAUCGCAUGAUAUUGAUUUGAAAGGUGCAAUUGCAUCACUAAGAGAUGGACCUGCGUUGUAUUAGCUAGUUGGUGAGGUAACGGCUCACCAAGGCGACGAUACAUAGCCGACCUGAGAGGGUGAUCGGCCACACUGGGACUGAGACACGGCCCAGACUCCUACGGGAGGCAGCAGUAGGGAAUCUUCGGCAAUGGGGGCAACCCUGACCGAGCAACGCCGCGUGAGUGAAGAAGGUUUUCGGAUCGUAAAGCUCUGUUGUAAGAGAAGAACGAGUGUGAGAGUGGAAAGUUCACACUGUGACGGUAACUUACCAGAAAGGGACGGCUAACUACGUGCCAGCAGCCGCGGUAAUACGUAGGUCCCGAGCGUUAUCCGGAUUUAUUGGGCGUAAAGCGAGCGCAGCGGUUAGAUAAGUCUGAAGUUAAAGGCUGUGGCUUAACCAUAGUACGCUUUGGAAACUGUUUAACUUGAGUGCAGAAGGGGAGAGUGGAAUUCCAUGUGUAGCGGUGAAAUGCGUAGAUAUAUGGAGGAACACCGGUGGCGAAAGCGGUCUCUGGUCUGUAACUGACGCUGAGGCUCGAAAGCGUGGGAGCAAACAGG